CCUACGGGUGGCAGCAGUGAGGAAUAUUGGUCAAUGGACGAGAGUCUGAACCAGCCAAGUAGCGUGAAGGAUGACUGCCCUAUGGGUUGUAAACUUCUUUUAUAUGGGAAUAAAAUGUUCCACGUGUGGGAUUUUGUAUGUACCAUAUGAAUAAGGAUCGGCUAACUCCGUGCCAGCAGCCGCGGUAAUACGGAGGAUCCGAGCGUUAUCCGGAUUUAUUGGGGUUAAAGGGAGCGUAGGUGGAUUGUUAAGUCAGUUGUGAAAGUUUGCGGCUCAACCGUAAAAUUGCAGUUGAAACUGGCAGUCUUGAGUACAGUAGAGGUGAGCGGAAUUUGUGGUGUAGCGGUGAAAUGCUUAGAUAUCACGAAGAACACCGAUUGCGAAGGCAGCUCACUGGACUGCAACUGACACUGAGGCUCGAAAGUGUGGGUAGCAAACAGGAUUAGAUACCCUUGUAGUC
RNAcentral lists this ribosomal RNA (460 nucleotides) under uncultured bacterium. RNAcentral's name for it is "partial 16S ribosomal RNA". It matches the Rfam family "Bacterial small subunit ribosomal RNA", at positions 338 to 795 of the family's 1533-position model. The record is from RNAcentral.